RNAcentral lists this ribosomal RNA (305 nucleotides) under uncultured bacterium. RNAcentral describes it as "bacterial SSU rRNA". It matches the Rfam family "Bacterial small subunit ribosomal RNA", at positions 334 to 637 of the family's 1533-position model. The record is from RNAcentral.
GUUUCCUACGGGGGGCAGCAGUGAGGAAUAUUGGUCAAUGGGCGGGAGCCUGAACCAGCCAAGCCGCGUGAAGGAAGAAGGCCCCAGGCGUCGUAAACUUCUUUUGUCGGGGAACAAAAGGCGCCACGCGUGGCGUUCCGAGUGUACCCGAAGAAAAAGCAUCGGCUAACUCCGUGCCAGCAGCCGCGGUAAUACGGAGGAUGCGAGCGUUAUCCGGAUUUAUUGGGUUUAAAGGGUGCGUAGGCGGACCGUAAAGUCAGCGGUAAAAUCCCGGGGCUCAACCUCGGCGAGCCGUUGAAACUGUU